Molecule: long non-coding RNA, 253 nt
Filed under: Lathyrus oleraceus (garden pea)
Lineage: Eukaryota; Viridiplantae; Streptophyta; Magnoliopsida; Fabales; Fabaceae
Description: Pisum sativum (pea) long non-coding RNA (PSAT_LNC029524)
Source: RNAcentral
UGACUUGUGGCAUUGUGGAAUUCAUCUACUACAUGAGCAAAUUUGAAGAAGAUCAUGGAGUUGCUAAGCUUGGAUGUGGCUUUCUUUAUUUGAUGCCUUGCUCUUCAAGUUGAUAUAUUGUGCAUUGUUUGUUGCUUUAUUCUAAUGUCCAAGGGAAUUUGGGUUUCUAUAUGACACUCUUGUCUAUUAGAUUGUAACCCAUUGGUCAGAUCUUUUCAACUCCCAACUUUUAAAUUUGUUCUUAGGAUUAGUC